Molecule: long non-coding RNA, 130 nt
Organism: Strongylocentrotus purpuratus (purple sea urchin)
Lineage: Eukaryota; Metazoa; Echinodermata; Echinoidea; Camarodonta; Strongylocentrotidae
Exons: 2
Source: RefSeq, a predicted model, not a curated record
CUGUUAUAGAGCCUGAAGAUUUGGAUAUCAUUACAACAUCAGAUACAGAGCGAGAGGGAAAUAAUGAUGACCUUGAUCAAUGUGGGGGUACACCAAACACAGAAGAGCUUUGCAGCGUCGCUCUACCAGU